CAGUAGCCACGGGAAUACGUAGGUGGCAAGCGUUGUCCGGAAUUAUUGGGCGUAAAGGGCUCGCAGGCGGUUUCUUAAGUCUGAUGUGAAAGCCCCCGGCUCAACCGGGGAGGGUCAUUGGAAACUGGGAAACUUGAGUGCAGAAGAGGAGAGUGGAAUUCCACGUGUAGCGGUGAAAUGCGUAGAGAUGUGGAGGAACACCAGUGGCGAAGGCGACUCUCUGGUCUGUAACUGACGCUGAGGAGCGAAAGCGUGGGGAGCGAACAGGAUUAGAUACCCCAGUAGUCCCUGUCUCUUAUAA
Molecule: ribosomal RNA, 301 nt
Filed under: uncultured bacterium
Lineage: Bacteria
Description: partial 16S ribosomal RNA
Rfam family: Bacterial small subunit ribosomal RNA
Source: RNAcentral